RNAcentral lists this ribosomal RNA (49 nucleotides) under Sordariomycetes sp. MUT 3395. Its description in RNAcentral is "partial 28S ribosomal RNA". Lineage: Eukaryota; Fungi; Ascomycota; Sordariomycetes. The record is from RNAcentral.
UUGACCUCGAAUCAGGUAGGGUUACCCGCUGAACUUAAGCAUAUCAAUA